Mastomys coucha (southern multimammate mouse) is the source of this 1540-nucleotide long non-coding RNA. RefSeq lists it as uncharacterized. NCBI's taxonomy places the organism in Eukaryota, Metazoa, Chordata, Mammalia, Rodentia, Muridae. The record is from RefSeq and is a predicted model, not a curated record. The transcript has 6 exons.
GAACCAUCACAUUCUCGUCAUACAAGGCACGUGGUUUUAUUGUUAGGCCAAACCACAGUGAAAAUUAAAGAGGGCUUCUUUUAGAAUCUAGACUGCUCAGGACUAUUCAUGAUCUGUUCAGACCAUGUAGGGGCCGUGGCAGAUUCUGCUGUAUCACACCAGAGCAUCCCUGUCCCAGGAUGCAAAGAUGCACUGCUGAAGCUGGGGACCCGGGUGUAAACUCAAGGCCUCGGACAGAGUCAAGGGCAGCUAUAACAGCAGCAAAAGGUUUUCAGAAGAUGUUUCCAUUCCAAGCAGAUCAACCUUUCUGUUGUCAUAGAGACAAAGAUCUUUAUAUAACUACAUGCAAGUGAACUUCAGACAAAGGUCUUAGAAGGCACAAUUUUCAGCAUCUGAAAUGUUUGAAGCUCAAUUGUAUCUACUGAAGGAUGCUGAUGAAUGCUCAGGCACUCAGAGUUCUAGAUGCCCCAGGAAAAUCAGACUUGCUUCAAGAAAAAUGAGAGCUGUACCACUUUAAAAGAGUAACUUGAAGGUUUGACUAAGCUUAAGGCUUUGCUGGAAUGAAACCCUGAUUUUUCCUAAGAGCACACAGCUUCACAUUUAAACACAGGAAAGAGGAAUUGCUGUCCAGCUGCAGUUUCUCAUUUGGCAGGCAACCAGCCAUUUUCUCAGGAUUUGACAGAAUAUGAUUUCUCAUUUAACUGGCUUUCUAACACCGCCCCCGAGCCAGGCUGAAUUGAAUCAGAACCCUGUGCAAUCAUUGUCUUGGCUGAAGAUUCACACCUACAGUUCUUCCCCCAGAUUGUUUAAUGUGGUCACAGUGGAUGCUGAGAAAAAGAAGCAGGAAACAAUAUACUUGCCAAGUUUUCCUUAGGCAUACAUGUGAGAGAUCUCCUGGAGGUCUUUUAAGAAUUGCAGUUUUCUGGAACUCAUCACUACUGAUUCUCAGGCAGUGAGUCAAGGUUGAAAUUUCAACAGCAGCACACCGAUUCUCAAGCAGGAGACUGGAGAUAUCAUUCAACGAUGGCCACUUUAGAAGACUGUACAAAAUCUACAGUAGGAUUUUUUUUGCCUUUAUCUACAUGGGCACAAAUAAUCCCUUCUAAAGACUGUCUGCAUUGCCAUUGAUAACAGUUGGCUAAAUAUGAAUUGGCUGCUGAUUUUCUAACCACAUCAGGAGUGUGAGAGGAGCUAAAGCAGAUGUGAAAAAAAGUGAUAAUUUGAAUUAACCAGUGCAUGCUUGUAGACACACACACACACACACACACACACACACCUCACAUUAUAAUGCUUGUCUAUGGGUGCAUAGUUCAUUACUCUUGACUCUAAGUAGCAGAAGUGUCAUUCUGGAACUAAAGCUUAUCUCUGUAAGCUUAUAAUAGCAGCUGCUGCUCCUUAGCAUGGAUUGAAAUGAGCAACGAGAAGAGUUAAUGGUUUUCUGUGUUUGUCUUUAUUGAUGCAAUAUUAUGUUUUCUUUCCAACAAACUCCUAUGCAAUAAGGGUACGGGUAAUAAAUGCUUUCAGGGUUAAUGUCUCCACA